RNAcentral lists this ribosomal RNA (504 nucleotides) under uncultured bacterium. RNAcentral describes it as "partial 16S ribosomal RNA". It matches the Rfam family "Bacterial small subunit ribosomal RNA", at positions 29 to 523 of the family's 1533-position model. The record is from RNAcentral.
AUUGAACGCUGGCGGCAGGCCUAACACAUGCAAGUCGAACGGUAGCACAGAGAGCUUGCUCUCGGGUGACGAGUGGCGGACGGGUGAGUAACGUCUGGGAAACUGCCCGAUGGAGGGGGAUAACUACUGGAAACGGUAGCUAAUACCGCAUAACGUCGCAAGACCAAAGUGGGGGACCUUCGGGCCUCACACCAUCGGAUGUGCCCAGAUGGGAUUAGCUAGUAGGUGGGGUAAUGGCUCACCUAGGCGACGGUCCCUAGCUGGUCUGAGAGGAUGACCAGCCACACUGGAACUGAGACACGGUCCAGACUCCUACGGGAGGCAGCAGUGGGGAAUAUUGCACAAUGGGCGCAAGCCUGAUGCAGCCAUGCCGCGUGUAUGAAGAAGGCCUUCGGGUUGUAAAGUACUUUCAGCGGGGAGGAAGGCGGUGAAGUUAAUAGCUUCACCGAUUGGCGUUACCCGCAGAAGAAGCACCGGCUAACUCCGUGCCAGCAGCCGCCGCUG